This 699-nucleotide ribosomal RNA is filed under the name Tomentella sp. YM871. RNAcentral describes it as "eukaryotic LSU rRNA". The stretch from base 179 to 333 matches the Rfam family "5.8S ribosomal RNA". Lineage: Eukaryota; Fungi; Basidiomycota; Agaricomycetes; Thelephorales; Thelephoraceae. The record is from RNAcentral.
UUGCUGGCCUUCAAUGGGGGCAUGUGCACACUCUGUUUACACAUCCACUCACACCUGUGCACCCUCUGUAGUUCUAUGGCGUGGGGGGCCCAGCCCUCCUGCUGUGGUUCUAUGUCUUUACACACACACUGUGAUGAAGUCUCAUGGAAUGUACAUCGCGUUUAACGCAAUACAAUACAACUUUCAGCAACGGAUCUCUUGGCUCUCGCAUCGAUGAAGAACGCAGCGAAAUGCGAUAAGUAAUGUGAAUUGCAGAAUUCAGUGAAUCAUCGAAUCUUUGAACGCACCUUGCGCCCUUUGGCUAUUCCGAAGGGCAUGCCUGUUUGAGUAUCAUGAACACCUCAACUCUCAUGGUUUUGCCAUGAUGAGCUUGGACUUUGGGGGUCUUGCUGGCCUAUGGUCGGCUCCUCUUAAAUGAAUCAGCUUGCCAGUGUUUGGUGGCAUCCCAGGUGUGAUAACUAUCUACGCUUGUGGUUUUCCAUCAAGUAACCUUCAGUGAUGGAGGUUCACUGGGGCUCAUAAAGGCCUCUCCUCAGUGAGGAAUGGCUCCUUUUGAAUGUUUGAUCUCAAAUCAGGUAGGACUACCCGCUGAACUUAAGCAUAUCAAUAAGCGGAGGAAAAGAAACUAACAAGGAUUCCCCUAGUAACUGCGAGUGAAGCGGGAAGAGCUCAAAUUUAAAAUCUGGCGUGCCUCUGGUC